This is a long non-coding RNA of Arabidopsis thaliana (thale cress), 211 nucleotides long. RefSeq annotates it as other RNA. Lineage: Eukaryota; Viridiplantae; Streptophyta; Magnoliopsida; Brassicales; Brassicaceae. The transcript has a single exon. The record is from RefSeq.
UACUUGCGAUGUUGCUGGACGCGGGAACAGUAAUACAUGAGGGGAGAAAAAGUCUUUUGUGUUUGGUUUUGAGUCUAUUUUUUGGUCAAACUCGAAUCUCCAAAUGACAUGAAAUCCAUCUAUUUUCUUACUUAUUGCUCGAAAGUGAUUGGUCUUUCAAAGUCUCCCUAGAUUCUUCCAUUUAUGUAUAUUUUUUUGGUACAUUAGCCUA